CGAAGCGACGUCGCGUGGGUGAUGAAGGUCUUCGGAUCGUAAAGCCCUGUCACCUGGGACGAAGGCUCUUGAUACAAAUAGUGUCAAGGGUUGACUGUACCAGGAGAGGAAGCCCCGGCUAACUCCGUGCCAGCAGCCGCGGUAAUACGGAGGGGGCUAGCGUUGUUCGGAUUUAUUGGGCGUAAAGGGUGUGUAGGCGGCCAUGUAAGUCAGAUGUGAAAGCCCUUGGCUUAACCAAGGAAUUGCAUUUGAAACUACAUGGCUUGAGUAUGAGAGAGGAGAGUGGAAUUCCCGGUGUAGAGGUGAAAUUCGUAGAUAUCGGGAGGAACACCGGUGGCGAAGGCGACUCUCUGGCUCAAUACUGACGCUGAAACACGAAAGCUAGGGGAGCGAACGGGAUUAGAUACCCCGGUAGUCCUAGCCGUAAACGAUGGGCACUAGGUGUAGGGGGUUUAUACCUUCUGUGCCGCAGCUAACGCAUUAAGUGCCCCGCCUGGGGAGUACGACCGCAAGGUUGAAACUCAAAGGAAUUGACGGGGACCCGCACAAACGGUGGAGCAUGUGGUUUAAUUCGACGAUACGCGAGGAACCUUACCAGGGCUUGACAUGUAUCUGAAAACCCCAAGAAAUUGGGGUCCUCCCU
Molecule: ribosomal RNA, 643 nt
Filed under: uncultured bacterium
Lineage: Bacteria
Description: bacterial SSU rRNA
Rfam family: Bacterial small subunit ribosomal RNA
Source: RNAcentral